UCCAUUCCAAAUUGAGUUGGGGUUUAUUAAUAUGAAUUUGUUUUUUCUUUUUCUUUUUUUUUUCUUUAAUUUUUUUUUCUAGCACUUGAAUAGAAAACAGUACCUAAAGAAUUAGUGUGGAAUUAUUUCAGGCUGAAGCUAUGCGUGUGCUUCUAACGUACCAUGAGCCUUGGAUUUUUGCUUAACUUGAUGAGAAUUGCCUAACCUUAGAUAAGGGAUAUAACUUCUGUAAGUAAGGGGGAUUGAGGAAAGAACUUUGCAAGUCGGUAGGACGGAUCUCUUCCAACUGACACCUAACUAAUUAGCAUUCAGCAUUCAAGGAAAAAUGAAAAAAAAUGAAAAAAAAGAGUCAUCCAAGGGGAAAAGAAGUCAUCCAACACUACUAAGAAUUAAUAUACGGUUGGAACAAAGACUGUGUAACACUGGACUCUAAUUGUAAUAAAAGGACGAUAGAUGGCAGCAAAGACCGUGAAAUAAUUACAGCAGCCCUAUAUAGUGGGGGGUGCGGAAAAGGCGGGAUUUAACAUGAAUGUGUAAUGACUUUCGCGAAUAUAAGGUUUUUGCUUUUGUCAUUCCGUUCGACGCACUCGCGGAGGGUUAUCCCCAGUGCUGUCAAUGAAAAGGAACGCGACUUCACAUUGGUCAGACUUUGAUGCUGAGUAAAUAUCUUUGUUUCAGUACCUGUGGGACCGGCUGGGCGCCGAGCGCGGCUACCACGGCCACAACAGCAGCAGCUCCGCCGGCUGCGGGAACAGCAGCGCUGCCGCCGACCCGCUGCGGCAGGAGGUGGAAGCCCUGGUCUCCCACUGGAACCUCUACAUCAACUUGGGGGGCUUCUUUGUCUGUCUCUUCUCCGUGACUCUGUUUGGACCGUGGAGCGACAGCGUGGGCCGCCGUCCGGCGCUCAUCCUGUCAACAGCGGGCAUAGCCCUGCAAACGUCCAUCUACCUGCUGGUCAUAUACCUGGAGCUGCACGUCGCCUACUUGCUCCUGGGACGUCUUCUGAGUGGCCUGUCAGGAGACUACAACCUGGUCCUGGCCAGCUGCUUUGCCUACGUGACCGACAGCAGUGACAGGCGCGCGCGGACGUUCCGGGUGGCCAUCCUCGAGGCGUGCCUGGGCAUCGCGGGCAUGCUGGCCAGCAUCGGUGGUGGCCAGUGGCGCAAGGCCCAGGGCAGUGAUUUCCUGGAGCAACUGGCCAGUGAAAGCAUCAGUGCAAGAGGGAUCAGUGACCAGCAGGCACCAGAAUUGUCUGGAGAGUUGGAACUGGAAAGAAACUACUGCAGCAGAUUUACAGGUGGGGUGGAAAAGAACUUGGGGAAAAUGCCCCUCCAGAGACAAAACUUCUAAAGGUUCCUGGGACAGCAUAAAAGCCAAAAGGUGACUUGUCCUUUUCCAGAAGACAGGCCUGUCUCUAUACCACUGCCUUGGCAAAGCUGGUGUGGAGGCCAGUCCAGCUCUCACUGCAGCUCUAACAGGAACAGUCACUGCUCCCUUCGCCUCUCCACCUUAUGGGCACGAGCCUGUCUUGUUUGCCCAAGAUGGGAGAGUUUGCAGCUGGAACAAAGAUGAAGACCAGGACAUGAGCAUUACCUGGAUCCCAAGGAACAAAAGAUAUUGUGCCUGCACGACUCAGUAUUUCAAGGCUAGGACACAAUGGACUCAAAGCUGAAGGAACCAAAUUUCCUCUUUUUAAGACUAGCAUUGUUAAUUUUUUGAUCUCCCAUUUUGCUGACACUUCUUGGUGAACUAGGGUGAUGUCUGAACUGCACAUGGAGGAGAGAAAGACGCUUGGCCAGCACCACUGGACUCCAGUUCUGACCUGUGCAGCUGUUCCAGCACUGCCUGUGCUAUGGGGACCAUCAUGGCAGUGGUGGCUGUGUUGCUGAUCCACAUUGACAGGAAGGCAGUCACGACCAUGAAUCCCAUGAGAAGUCUGGAAUGAGAAGGUUUGGAAAAGCUGGAUCAGAACUCAGCACUGCAACGCUCUAUUUUUUUUGCAAAGAUUCGACCACAAGUGCUGGGUUUGGAACACGCUCAGCAAUUCCCACCCAGCACUUCCUCUUACCCUGGCCUACUUUGGGAGCGACAUGGUUGCAAAGGGAAAAGUCCAGGACAUUUUAAAUUUCUAUGUUGUUGCUGACUACAUAGUAACCAGAGAGAGUCAUUUUCACAGAGGAACUGAGGCAAGACUGCCAAAUCAUUCCACAGGUUGCAAUGAAAAUCUAAAAGAACACAUCGUUUUUGCAUCUCUGUAACAUGAAGGUCGGCCUCCAACUGCAGCCUCAUCUGUGGAGUGUAAAUAACAACCUGGAAGGGUCUCAGCUGAUGAAUUGUGCCUAUUCUUCACAAGCAACACGUCCUCAUCGAUCAUUUCCUCUGUCAGGUGAGUCACAAUACCUGCAAAGAUGCUAGAAAUGAGUUCUCUAAGUGUGUUAUGGUUUGUCUUGUUUGAGCUUUGCCUGUGGCCCAUUAACAGUCCCUUGGAGUUGUCAAAGGAGCAAUGCCAAUUUACGUUAGUUUGCAACAGUUUAUAUAAACGGGUUAAUCUAA
Pipra filicauda (Wire-tailed manakin) is the source of this 2553-nucleotide long non-coding RNA. RefSeq lists it as uncharacterized. Lineage: Eukaryota; Metazoa; Chordata; Aves; Passeriformes; Pipridae. The record is from RefSeq and is a predicted model, not a curated record. The transcript has 9 exons.